This is a long non-coding RNA of Oenanthe melanoleuca, 2697 nucleotides long. RefSeq lists it as uncharacterized. The transcript is spliced from 2 exons. Lineage: Eukaryota; Metazoa; Chordata; Aves; Passeriformes; Muscicapidae. The record is from RefSeq and is a predicted model, not a curated record.
UGGCUAUUUUUCCUUGAGAAAUUUCUGGGUUAUGAUGGGUUGACACUGUACCGGCCUUUGUGAGAUCAUGGGGUUACACGACAAAACUGGGAAGUUGUGAAAUGCAUGGGAGCUGUUGAUGAGAGGUCAGUUGUCUGGAGCUGGGCACGUUGUGGUGAUGCUGCUGAAGCCAAGGGAAAUCCUCCUGCCAGGACUGGUGAAGGUGGGGGAAAGCAAGGACAAAGGACUCUGCCUGCCCUGCCAGGGUGGGGAGCUCAUCUGACAAGCCUUUAUUCCCCCUGCCCCCCUCCCUGUUUUGUCUGGAUUAUGUGAAGUGAUUAUAUAGUGAAAUAGAAGAGCAGGUGUCUGGGGGUGCCACUGGUCCCCAUGUGGGUACAGGGGCAGCUGCUGCCUCACUUGGACACUUGGCAUAUUGGCAGUGACCCCUCAGCCUCUCCUCUGGCAGCAAUCUCACACCUCCUGUGCCAAGGCCGUGCUUGCUGUUUGCUAAUUUUCUAUUUCAGGCAGCUAUGGACAAGUACAGUCAUGUAGGAUGUGAACAGACAUUUGGUCAGUACACUCUGAGGUAAUAAUUUGGGUCAGCUCUCAUCACUAUGUUGACUUCACUAUAUCUGUACUGAUUAUUUGAUGCACUGUUACCUUUAGAAGGGGAAUAUAAUCCAUUUAUCUUCUCCAGGCUCAGCAGCAUGUUAUACUUCUACAUGUUUUCAAACAGGGAAGUGUGGGAAGCAUACAACAUGCUUUGGAACAAAAGAUUUGGUCAAACCAAGGCCAAAUAUUUUUGAUUUUUUUACAUCCUAGGCUGGAGCACUCUAGUUGAAUAAAAGGAUUGCUUUGUUUGGUUAUAGCUGAGUUUUUCCUGUAUAAUGAUAUUUUAGCUUCCUGAAAGUGGGUUCUACAACCGUGGCUAUGGAAUGGUUUGGGUUGGAAGGGAUCUUCAAGCAUGAUCUAAUUCCAAGCCUCUGGCCAUGGGCAGGGACAUCUGCCAGCCGCUCAGUCAGGUUGCUCAAAGCCCCAUCCAGCCUGGCCUUGAACACUCCUGGGGAUGGGAGACAGCCACAGCUUCUCUGUGCCACCUGCUCCAGUGUCUCACCACCCUCACAGUAAAAAACGUCCUCCUUCUGUCCAAUCUAAGCCAACCCCUUUCAGUUUAAAAUUGCUGCCCCUCGUCCUGUCAGUACAAGUUAAGUCUCCUAUAUGUACUUUGGGGCUGCUGUAAGAUCUCCCCAGAAUCCCCUUUUUCAGCUGAACAACUCCAACUGUGAGCCUGUUUUCACAGGAGAGGAGGUACACUCGCUGCUGAGAGGCAGUGUGACAAGCCAGUCUCCUUCCAUGCAGGCUCUGGAUGGGCUCACCAGGUGAGAUCCUGCCUGCUGUGAGUGUUCAGUGUCUGUGCCGAGCUCUCUCCACUCCUUAGGGACGUGGCUGCGCAGGCUUUGGGAAGCACAGCUCUGGGUGCACAGACUCAGGCACAUGAGGGCACAAAGGGCAGGAGCUCAACCUGCUUAGCACCUGUGCUUGGUUUUCCCCUGCACUGUGCUGAUGUGUUCCACUCAAUGCUGUGUUGGGACCACUCCGAACAAACUUGUUAACAUCAGCUUACUGAGUCAGAGACAAUGAAGAUGUAAAGCAACUGCUGGUGGAAGAACUAUGUGCUAAAGUUUUAUGUGCAAAAGCAAUGAGCUUUGUAGGAAGAUUAGGCAAUAUAUUAGCCAUGAAAAUCCCAACAGUUUGCUGUUGUUGUUGACAUAAUCAGAUUUUACAGAUUUGUUUAACCUUCACUUGCAUUCUCUUAAAACACUGAAUGUGCUGCAUUGCCAGAGCUGCAGGCUGUACAACCCACAAGUGAUAGCUGCAUGAUCAUCCUACAAGCACUGCUGUCUAGCAAUAUGUGGAAGAGGCAAGUUGUCUAUUCUUGGGUAUUUGUUACUGCCAUGUUUAAGAGAAUUGGCAAAUAUAGAAUAGAUUUCCUUCAUGUUGACUGCAAUGCUUUCAGUACUAAGAGUUCUGUUUAGUUGAAAUAAAUAAUACUGUGAUAAGUUUGUUCAGGGGCUGCAUUUCUGAGCUGAUACAGGGUCAGAGAGCUCAUUUAAAGCUCAGGUAAUUUCUCUCUUUAUGGCUAUAUCUAAUUCUACGAACAGCUCAUCUAGGUCAGACAGUGUGCUAGGUAAGUACCUGAAGGCAGCCUACUAGAAAGAUGCAAUUUUUACAAGGGCAUGUGCCAGGACAAUGGGUAAAGGUUUCAAAGUGAGAGUAGGUUUAUAUUAGAUAUUAAGAAAAAAUUCUUUACUGUGAAGGUGGUGAUGCACUGGAACAUGUCACCCAGAAAAGUUGUAUGUGCCCCAUCCCUGGAAUUGUUUAAGGCCAGGUUUGAUGUCACUCUGAGCACCUGGUCUACUGAAAGGUGUCUCUGUCCCAUUUGUCCAUUGGAAUAAAAUGAUUUUUAUGGUCUCUUCCAAUUCAACCCAUUCUAUGAUUCUAGACCUUUAACUUAAUUCAUAUAUUUUUUGUGGAGGUAGCACUUGUCAAGUCUGGUAAAUGUUGGUUUCCUUAGCAUUGUAGAGCAUGAAUAAUUGUUGUUUUAAUCUGCAAUGCCAGAGUUUGCUUUAAUCAUUCUAAUAACAGAUUAAAUACUAUUUUACUUGUUCAGCUUAAAUAAGUGAUUUUAGAGACAGCUUGCCUCUUAGAUCUUUUGAA